GAUGAACGCUGGCGGCGUGCCUAAUACAUGCAAGUCGAGCGAACGGACGAGAAGCUUGCUUCUCUGAUGUUAGCGGCGGACGGGUGAGUAACACGUGGAUAACCUACCUAUAAGACUGGGAUAACUUCGGGAAACCGUAGCUAAUACCGGAUAAUAUUUUGAACCGCAUGGUUCAAAAGUGAAAGACGGUCUUGCUGUCACUUAUAGAUGGAUCCGCGCUGCAUUAGCUAGUUGGUAAGGUAACGGCUUACCAAGGCAACGAUGCAUAGCCGACCUGAGAGGGUGAUCGGCCACACUGGAACUGGAACACGGUCCAUGCUCCUACGGGAGGCAGCAGAAGGGAAUCUUCCGCAGUGGGCGAGAGCCUGACGGAGCAACGCGGCGUGAGUGAUGAAGGUCUUCGGAUCGUAAAACUCUGUUAUUAGGGAAGAACAUAUGUGUAAGUAACUGUGCACAUCUUGACGGUACCUAAUCAGAAAGCCACGGCUAACUACGUG
Molecule: ribosomal RNA, 497 nt
Filed under: uncultured bacterium
Lineage: Bacteria
Description: partial 16S ribosomal RNA
Rfam family: Bacterial small subunit ribosomal RNA
Source: RNAcentral